CCUACGGGUGGCAGCAGUAGGGAAUUUUCGUCAAUGGGCGCAAGCCUGAACGAGCAAUGCCGCGUGAACGAGGAAGGACUUCGGAUCGUAAAGUUCUGUUGAAGGGGAAAAAGAGCGGAGAGAGGAAAUGCUUUCGGAUUGAUAUUACCCUUCGAGGAAGUCACGGCUAACUACGUGCUAGCAGCCGCGGUAAUACGUAGGUGGCGAGCGUUAUCCGGAAUGAGUGGGCGUAAAGGGUGCGUAGGCGGCCUGCUAAGUCUGGAGUGAAAGGUACGGGCUCAACCGGUACAGGCUCUGGAAACUGGCGGGAUAGAGAGCAGGAGAGGGCGGUGGAACUCCAUGUGUAGCGGUAAAAUGCGUAGAUAUAUGGAAGAACAUCAGUGGCGAAGGCGGCCGCCUGGCCUGUUAACUGACGCUGAGGCACGAAAGCGUGGGGAGCAAAUAGGAUUAGAUACCCUUGUAGUC
This 465-nucleotide ribosomal RNA is filed under the name uncultured bacterium. RNAcentral's name for it is "partial 16S ribosomal RNA". It matches the Rfam family "Bacterial small subunit ribosomal RNA", at positions 338 to 795 of the family's 1533-position model. The record is from RNAcentral.